AUGGAUAUUGUCACGGGUGCCAUUGCCAAGCUGAUCCCCAAGCUGGGAGAACUGCUUGUGGGGGAGUACAAGCUGCACAAGGGCGUCAAGAAAAAUAUCGAGGACCUCCUAAAAGAGCUCAAGACCAUGAACGCUGCGCUCAUCAAGAUUGGUGAGGUGCCGCCGGACCAGCUCGACAGCCAAGACAAGCUUUGGGCCGAUGAGGUCAGAGAGCUCUCCUACGUCAUUGAGGAUGCGGUGGACAAGUUCCUCGUACGGGUCCAUGGCGUUGAGCCCGACGACAACACCAACGGAUUCAAGGGGCUCAUGAAGAGGACCACCAAGUUGUUGAAGAAAGUCGUGGAUAAGCAUGGAAUAGCUCACACGAUCAAGGACAUCAAGAAGGAACUCCAGGAGGUGGCUGCUAGGCGUGACAGGAACAAGUUCGAUGGUAUUGCUUCUAUUCCUACUGAAGCAAUUGAUCCUCGUCUCCGUGCUCUAUACAUAGAAGCGGCAGAGCUAGUUGGCAUCUAUGGGAAGAGGGAUCAGGAGCUCAUGAGUUUACUCUCCUUGGAGGGCGAUGAUGCCUCUACCAAGAAACUGAAGAAGGUCUCCAUUGUUGGAUUUGGAGGGUUGGGCAAGACCACUCUUGCCAAAGCAGUAUACGAGAAGAUUAAAGGUGAUUUUGAUUGUCACGCAUUUGUUCCUGUCGGGCAGAACCCUAACAAGAAGAAGGUUUUUAGGGAUAUCCUCAUGGAUCUCAGCAACUCUAACUCAGAUCUUGCAUUAUUGGAUGAAAGGCAGCUUAUCAACAAACUUCAUAAAUUUCUCGAGAACAAGAGGUACCUUGUCAUAAUUGAUGAUGUAUGGGAUGAAGGUUUGUGGAAAGACAUCAACCUUGCUUUCUCCAACAGGAACAAUCUAGGCAGUCGGCUAAUCAUCACAACCCGCAUUUUUGGUGUCUCCGAGUCAUGUUGCUCAUCGGCUGAUGAUCCGGUUUAUGAAAUUGAACCUCUUUCCAUAGAUGACUCCAGCAAGCUCUUCUAUACAAGAAUAUUCUCGGAUAGUGGAUGCCCAAAGGAAUUUGAACAAGUGUCUAAAGAUAUAUUGAAGAAAUGUGGUGGGGUACCACUAGCCAUCAUUACUAUUGCUAGUGCUUUGGCUAGUGGCCAGCAAGUGAAACCAAAGCAUGAGUGGGAUAUUCUACUCCAGUCCCUUGGCUCCGGAGUAACAAAAGAUAACAGUUUGGUUGAGAUGCGGAGAAUACUAUCUUUCAGCUAUUAUAAUCUACCGUCUCAUCUGAAAACUUGUCUACUAUACCUAUGUCUAUAUCCAGAAGAUAGCGAGAUUUAUAGAGAUAGACUGAUAUGGAAGUGGGUGGCUGAAGGAUUUGUCCACCAUGGAGAUCAAGGGACCAGCCUGUUUUUGGUCGGAUUAAACUACUUCAACCAGCUCAUUAAUAGAAGUAUGAUCCAGCCAAUAUAUGAUGAUCUAGGCCAGGUACAUGCUUGCCGUGUACAUGAUAUGGUUCUGGACCUUAUCUGCAACUUGUCACAUGAAGCAAAGUUUGCGAAGUUAUUGGAUGGUACUGGGGAUAGCAUGUCUUUACAUGGCAAUGUUCGUCGUUUGUCCCUUCAAGAUAGAAAUAAAGAUGAUCAAGGCACACCUCUCAGAAAUUUCACGGGUAUAUCACGAGUGAGGUCAAUUACUAUCUUUACAUCUGCUAUUAAUAUCAUGCCAGCCCUGUCAAGGUUUGAAGUUUUGCGUGCACUUGAUUUGUCGGACUGUAACCUUGGGGAAAGUAGCAGCCUGCAGCCUAACCUCAAGGGUGUUGGACACUUAAUUCACCUAAGGUACCUAGGUCUAGCAGGUACUCAAAUUAGUGAACUCCCGACUGAGAUAGGAAACCUGCAAUUUUUGGAGGUGUUGGAUCUUGUAAGGAAUUAUGAGCUAGAUGAAUUGCCGUCCACUCUUUUUAAAUUGAGAAGGUUAAUCUACCUAAAUGUUUGGUUCUAUAAGGUGGUUCCAACUCCUGGUGUGUUGCAGAAUCUGACAUCCAUUGAAGUGUUGAGGGGGAUAUUGGUCUCUCUGAACAUUAUUGCACAAGAGCUUGGAAACCUAGCAAGGCUGAGGGAGCUUCAGAUUCGCUUCAAGGAUGGUAGUUUGGAUUUGUAUGAAGGUUUCGUGAAGUCUCUGUGCAACCUACAUCACAUCGAAAGCCUAAUUGUUAGUUGCAAUUCUGGAGAAACAUCUUUUGAACUGAUGGAUCUCUUGGGAGAACAAUGGGUGCCUCCUGUACAUCUCCGCGAAUUUGCGUCAUACAUGCCCAGCCAACUCUCUGCACUGCGAGGGUGGAUAAAGAGAGACCCUUCGCAUCUCUCGAACCUCUCCGAGUUAAUCCUCACGUCAGUGAAGGAAGUGCAGCAGGAGGACGUGGAAAUCAUUGGGGGGUUGCAGUCCCUUCGACGUCUCUGGAUAACGAGCACCCACCAAACACAGCGGCUGCUAGUCAUCGGUGCAGAUGGGUUCCGCUGUAUGGUAGACUUUGAGUUGUAUUGUGGAUCCGCAACGCAGAUAAUGUUUGAAUCAGGAGCUUUGCCGAGGGCGGAAGAAGUUUGCUUCAGCCUGGGCGUGCGCAUGGCGAAAGAGGAUGGUAACCGUGGUUUCGACUUGGGCCUGCAGGGGAACCUGCUCUCCCUUCGGCGGCGUGUCUGCGUUUGGAUGUGUUGUGGUGGAGCGAGGGUUGGGGAGGCAAAAGAAGCGGAGGCUGCGGUGAGGCACGCCCUCGAUGCCCAUCCCAACCAUCCCAGGAUUUCUAUUUCUAUGCGCCCGAGUAUAGCAGAAGAUGCUCAUGAUGACGAUUUGUGUGAGGACGAGGAGGAGAACUGA
Molecule: ribosomal RNA, 2868 nt
Filed under: Triticum aestivum (bread wheat)
Lineage: Eukaryota; Viridiplantae; Streptophyta; Magnoliopsida; Poales; Poaceae
Description: partial small subunit ribosomal RNA
Source: RNAcentral